Molecule: long non-coding RNA, 393 nt
Organism: Lycium barbarum (goji berry)
Lineage: Eukaryota; Viridiplantae; Streptophyta; Magnoliopsida; Solanales; Solanaceae
Exons: 3
Source: RefSeq, a predicted model, not a curated record
ACAAGAAAAGAGAAAAACCUAGAGAUAGAGAAGGGGGGGCUCACGGCCAUGGUGAAAAAAAUCCAUGUUCACCAAGCUUGGUCCAAUUAAUUUUUCCAUGGUGUUGUAAAUCAAAUGGAGGUCUUUGGGAACAUGAAUUGGUCCUUGAGAGCAGCAAGAAUGGUCUUUAAUUGAAGCCAUUAAAUUCAGCAAAUUAAGGAGCAACUUGCUAAGACCUUGGGCAGCCCGAAUCAUAGGUUGGAUUUAGCUUGAGUUUGGAUCGUAUUGGAGAGCGUUUGAGGUACAGACGCACACCCUGGUGAUCCACCUGUUUAAGACACCCUUUCUGCUAUUCGGAGUGCUCCUCUCUUUCCGGAGCUUAUACUUUUGGUAUAUAUAUUUAUUAGUGCAUUU